Molecule: ribosomal RNA, 305 nt
Filed under: uncultured bacterium
Lineage: Bacteria
Description: bacterial SSU rRNA
Rfam family: Bacterial small subunit ribosomal RNA
Source: RNAcentral
CAUUGCCUACGGGGCGCAGCAGUGGGGAAUAUUGGGCAAUGGAGGCAACUCUUACCCAGCAAUGCCGCGUGAAUGAAGAAGGUCUUCGGAUUGUAAAGUUCUUUAAUUGGGGACGAAAAAAAUGACGGUACCUAACGAAUAAGCACCGGCUAACUCCGUGCCGGCAGCCGCGGUAAUACGGAGGGUGCAAGCGUUACUCGGAAUCACUGGGCGUAAAGAGUGCGUAGGCGGGGUAAUAAGUCAGAUGUGAAAUCCUGUAGCUUAACUACAGAAAUGCUUUUGAAACUGUUACUCUGGAGUGUGGG